AGUGAACGCUGGCGGUAGGCCUAACACAUGCAAGUCGAACGGCAGCACAGUAAGAGCUUGCUCUUACGGGUGGCGAGUGGCGGACGGGUGAGGAAUACAUCGGAAUCUACUUUUUCGUGGGGGAUAACGUAGGGAAACUUACGCUAAUACCGCAUACGACCUACGGGUGAAAGCAGGGGAUCUUCGGACCUUGCGCGAUUGAAUGAGCCGAUGUCGGAUUAGCUAGUUGGCGGGGUAAAGGCCUACCAAGGCGACGAUCCGUAGCUGGUCUGAGAGGAUGAUCAGCCACACUGGAACUGAGACACGGUCCAGACUCCUACGGGAGGCAGCAGUGGGGAAUAUUGGACAAUGGGCGAAAGCCUGAUCCAGCAAUACCGCGUGGGUGAAGAAGGCCUUCGGGUUGUAAAGCCCUUUUGUUGGGAAAGAAAAGCAGCAGGUUAAUACCCCGCUGUUCUGACGGUACCCAAAGAAUAAGCACCGGCUAACUUCGUG
RNAcentral lists this ribosomal RNA (492 nucleotides) under uncultured bacterium. RNAcentral describes it as "partial 16S ribosomal RNA". It matches the Rfam family "Bacterial small subunit ribosomal RNA", at positions 29 to 507 of the family's 1533-position model. The record is from RNAcentral.